RNAcentral lists this non-coding RNA (28 nucleotides) under Bombyx mori (domestic silkworm). Lineage: Eukaryota; Metazoa; Arthropoda; Insecta; Lepidoptera; Bombycidae. The record is from RNAcentral.
UAAGCAUAGAGCAUAAGGCUGCAGAAGA